CCCUCUAAAUAAAAAAUCCUCAUUAAAGAAUAUUAAUACUCAUGAAUUAAGAAAAACAAAAGGAGAAAUUGCCUGGAACAAAUUCAGAUCACCCUUUGAUCCUGUCCACGGACACGUACGAACGCCUGCUCCAUCACACAGAGGCAUGGGGACCGGAACGGAGCGUGGAGCCCACAGCCGCCCGUCCAGAGCCCGUGCUCGGGGGAAGCGCUAAUGUCAAGGAGAACCAUGAUGCUCAGCUCUUCGCACUAAAAGGAAACAACAAAACCAGGCACGGGGAAACAAACAAACAAAAACCAAGCAUGAGGUGAGCAUUUGUUUUUAGCUCAGCUGCUCGAGGAGAGACGUGGGCAAUGCGUACGGGAAGUGACAGAGACCAACCUCCCCUCCCAGGCGGCCUCCAACAGGAGACCUCACUGCCAGGGCCCAGGCAGCUCACAGACUCUUCCGCCCAGGUUCACAGCUUUCGGUGGCAGGCCUUCCUGCAGAACUUGGGAAUUGUGCUUGCCUGUACUGUGCAGGAGGAAGGAGGAAGUGAAGCAGCCGAACUAUUGACACACCAAGAACAUUGGCACUGUGGCCUGGGGCAGGGGUGCAAACCCAAAAGGCUACGGAGCAGGCGGGCACAUGAGUGGGCCAGGUGUGCAAACACUGUUAAAGGAAAGCAGCAGUCCCACGUGAGGAUGGCAGAUGGCGUGCACGUGGCCUCAGGGGCACGCGGGGAAUGGCUGGGUGGAAAUCUGAUGUCCUCUGACGUCUCCAGGACAACUGCUGGUCCCGGACAACAGAUCCGGACGACGGUGCCGUGUAGACGAGCAGGCCGGGUAUCUCCAGGUUACAGAGUUCCCAAGAACAGUCAAGCUCACCGUGGAAAGAGUACCAUGCAGUGCGCCCGAGACAACCUUCCAGCAGCCACACAGUGAACGCGUUUUCCGCCACGGGUAACAUCUUAAGGGGA
Molecule: long non-coding RNA, 958 nt
Organism: Mirounga angustirostris (Northern elephant seal)
Lineage: Eukaryota; Metazoa; Chordata; Mammalia; Carnivora; Phocidae
Exons: 3
Source: RefSeq, a predicted model, not a curated record